AUGCAUUUGAAGAUGAGCACUUGCUGGAUUACUGCUGAGUGCCAGAGCCGUCCUGGCGGGGAGGUUCUCAGGAACUUAGACAUUCAGCAUUUAGGAAGAGCAGGUUGUCUCAUUCCAGGGGCAAAGUUGGAUCUCAGAGGGCUCUCCCAAGUCCACACCCUCAGCUUAUGUGCUUCCCGUCAUCUUGUUGGGGAUAACAAGAUCAGGAUAACAACAGUGACUUAUGGGUGUCCGUGGCCACCUUCCAAGCUGUUUGUACACCUAUCAGACAUCGAAGGAUCCAGGGCUAGAGAUCCAGCAGAGGCUUCCAUCCGCGCUCAUCCAUCCUCCCAUCAGCAGGUGCUAGCAGGUGAUUGACGGACGAGGGAUGUUCUCUGGUGCGGGAGCCACAGGUAAUCCAGCGGCUUAGAAGUGUCACACGUCUGCAGUGGACCCUUCCCCUGUCUUCUGGCAAGCCUGGCUGUGCCCCUUAGGAGGGCUGCAGUGUCCAGACACACGACAGACCCAGAGCUAUUGUUUCAGAAUUCAGCCCUGUGGCAGAGAGACAGACCUAGACAGGCCUGCUGGGUGCUCACGUGUACACACUCUCCUUAUGGGGGUGCUCCCCUGAGUCCAAGAGGGAAAUGGUCUAUGUGUUCCCUAAAACUGCAAAUCAUUCCGCUUUCAUUUUGUCUUAGGACGCCGUGUGUGUCCAGAGCUGUUAACACAGUCCAAAUGCAGGAAGCAGUUCACAAGCGCUUGUGGAAACGCAUUAGCAGCUUUUCAGCGAGCUGAUUAUAGUGUUAAACAGCAGGCUUUGACAACCCUGAAAAUUGGCCCCUGUGUACAAAAAGCUCAACAUUCCCAAAGCUGUAUAAGAGGCAGAGGAGAGAAAAUUGCUGCUGGCUUAAUCAGUUAUAAACUAAAGAGAGGAGGUGUGCUUUGAGGGUUUUUUCCUAACUUGAAUAGCUAAGUGGUAACUAAUAAAGUAAGCUAAAGUGACA
This 983-nucleotide long non-coding RNA is filed under the name Ursus americanus (American black bear). RNAcentral describes it as "lncRNA (ENSUAMG00000001877.1)". Lineage: Eukaryota; Metazoa; Chordata; Mammalia; Carnivora; Ursidae. The record is from RNAcentral.